This 237-nucleotide long non-coding RNA is filed under the name Gossypium raimondii (Peruvian cotton). Its description in RNAcentral is "long non-coding RNA (GRAI_LNC000162)". The record is from RNAcentral. Lineage: Eukaryota; Viridiplantae; Streptophyta; Magnoliopsida; Malvales; Malvaceae.
GGGCUUGCUGUUUUUUUUUUUGGUUUAAUUUAGUUUGUUGGGUUGGGGCAAAUUUGGGCUUUGUACAGCUGCCCCUCUUUGCUCGUUGUCAUGUAACGAGAAUAGAGCAAAGACUAAGAAAGACCAAAUUUGCCCGGUCUUACCGAGUCUUGACUUCUCUUGACGCUUCUCUUCUUCAAGUAACUUCAUUUCAGUCCAUUGUGUCUUGUUGCGUCGAUCCACACCGCUGCAACUUCG